Molecule: ribosomal RNA, 420 nt
Filed under: uncultured bacterium
Lineage: Bacteria
Description: bacterial SSU rRNA
Rfam family: Bacterial small subunit ribosomal RNA
Source: RNAcentral
CGUGUCGUGAGAUGUUGGGUUAAGUCCCGCAACGAGCGCAACCCUUAUUACUAGUUGCCAGCAUUCAGUUGGGCACUCUAGUGAGACUGCCGGUGACAAACCGGAGGAAGGUGGGGAUGACGUCAAAUCAUCAUGCCCCUUAUGACCUGGGCUACACACGUGCUACAAUGGAUGGUACAAAGGGCUGCGAGACCGCGAGGUUAAGCCAACCCCAGAAAACCAUUCCCAGUUCGGAUUGCAGGCUGCAACCCGCCUGCAUGAAGCCGGAAUCGCUAGUAAUCGCGGAUCAGCAUGCCGCGGUGAAUACGUUCCCGGGCCUUGUACACACCGCCCGCCACACCACGAGAGUUUGUAACACCUGAAGUCGGUGAGGUAACCUUUACGGAGCCAGCCGCCGAAGGUGGGACAGAUGAUUGGGGU